Molecule: transfer RNA, 73 nt
Filed under: Felis catus (domestic cat)
Lineage: Eukaryota; Metazoa; Chordata; Mammalia; Carnivora; Felidae
Rfam family: tRNA
About the family: Transfer RNA (tRNA) molecules are approximately 80 nucleotides in length. Their secondary structure includes four short double-helical elements and three loops (D, anti-codon, and T loops). Further hydrogen bonds mediate the characteristic L-shaped molecular structure. tRNAs have two regions of fundamental functional importance: the anti-codon, which is responsible for specific mRNA codon recognition, and the 3' end, to which the tRNAs corresponding amino acid is attached (by aminoacyl-tRNA synthetases). tRNAs cope with the degeneracy of the genetic code in two manners: having more than one tRNA (with a specific anti-codon) for a particular amino acid; and 'wobble' base-pairing, i.e. permitting non-standard base-pairing at the 3rd anti-codon position.
Source: Rfam by way of RNAcentral
GCAUGGCUGGCUCAUUUUGUAGAGCAUGAGACUCUUGAUCUCAGGGUUGUGAGUUCAAGCCCCACGUUGGGCA